GAUGGUCACAUAGAUAGAUGGAUAGAUAGAUAGAUAGAUAGAUGGAGAGAUAGAUAGAUAGAUACAUAUAUACAUAUAUACACUGAUAGAUAGGUAAACAGACAGACAGACAAAGAUAUAAAUAUGUAUUUGUCUAUUAAAUUCACUCCCGAGGCACAUUGAUCAGCCUUAAGGUUAUUAAUAGAAAAUACUUUCCCAGGGUGCUGCACAGUGGGAAUGAUCCUGAAACCUCAUGCUUGCAAAGCAAACUCCUUAACCACACAGCCACGCUUGUGCCUAUGUGUAUCUGUAUUUCUUCUUUGAUACCAAUUCACCUAAAACUGUCUCUAAUUCCUUAUCACAAAACAUCCAAUUGUAAAUCCUUUACAUUUAAUUUCAAAAAUAGGAAACUUUUGAUAUGUUCCAAGCACCAAACUUAUAAUUAAUUAAUAAAGUUUGUUAUUUUAAUGAAUCUCUCUAAAUUUGUAAUUAUUUUCAAAAUUGAAAUAUUGUCUGUGCAUAUUUUAUUAAGAGUUCUAGUCAUGAAAUAGGAAAUACUGGGUGCAGCAGAAAAACCUCCUGCAUUUCAGAUGGCCAUUGGCUUGGCACCAGUGAAGUUCCAUUGAUGAUAAUGGUGUCUUUAGGGAGCCAAUGUCUUACCAUUCUUUUUCAUUUACCAUUUUGAUUUUAAUUAAUGCAUUUUGUGUGUAUUUUAAUGAAACAUUUGUAAAUGUGUAGAAUCCAGGACAUCUUUUCUUUUCCAUUGCACCCUGUAUCUAUGCAUACGAGGUGUUAAAUAUUUUUAUCAUACUUGAUAUUCUAAUAAAUCAGAGCUCUUUUUAUUGUUGUUUA
Molecule: long non-coding RNA, 831 nt
Organism: Octopus sinensis (East Asian common octopus)
Lineage: Eukaryota; Metazoa; Mollusca; Cephalopoda; Octopoda; Octopodidae
Exons: 2
Source: RefSeq, a predicted model, not a curated record